Molecule: long non-coding RNA, 2586 nt
Filed under: Fragaria vesca (wild strawberry)
Lineage: Eukaryota; Viridiplantae; Streptophyta; Magnoliopsida; Rosales; Rosaceae
Description: long non-coding RNA (FVES_LNC005392)
Source: RNAcentral
CCCGCAGUAGUAACUUAUGGAGCUGAUAUCAUUUGCACAUAUCACAAUCCAUGUACUGUUCAAUAGCCGCAAAGCUUUGGUUGUCUCCAAUAUGAAAGAUGUAGUUUAUUUGUUUGCCAAAGCAUCAAGACAGAUUUGUGAAGCUUUUUACAGUAAAAAGGCUCAGGUUAAGUGGUGAUGAGAUUUUGAAGCAAAAUGACUGAGGUGAGCUGCUUGUUUAUGGACUGAGUUGUUGUCAAAAUGUUGGAAUGCUUGGUUACAGCUUGAUUUUGUAGAGUGUUUUGCUUCUUUUGGUUUAGAUUUGGAAGAGUAGCAUAAUGAUGGAGAGGUUCAGUUUGCUUGAUUAGGGAUACAACACUGGUUAGCAUAAACCAUAUAUGGUUGGAUAUGCACUAUGCAUCUAUUUGGUAGUGAGGAUAAAGAAUAGCUUUUACACUACUGGAAUGAAAUAUGUGGUUUGAAAUUGAAGAAAAACUUGAAACCUAAAUUUAUAAAGUGAACAGGCUAUGACAAGAGAGGAUAUGGAUAUGGCUGGCGGGGCUAUGAAUCGUUGGAAGUUUUGGUUGGUAGAGAAAGCAUGGUUUUUUUUUUUAGCUUGUCAAAUUUUGGUUUGAGAUCUUGGAGACCAGAAAAUUACAGGGAUGAUGAAGGAGAGAAUUUAGGGAUAAUAAACCCAGUCCCCAGCAGAGUCGCCAUUUAUGUUGGGGUCAUUUUGAACAGAGGGUGCUAGAUUUAUUUGAAUGGCUUGAUUUCCUCUUUCUACCCCUUCUGAGUUCAAGAACUGGGCCCAAACCGUUAAGGAGCUUUGUGUGUGUUUUCCCCAAGAUCUCCCCUACAGUAAUAUUGGCUUGCUGCGGGGAUGAUAACCUGCUGCGGUGACAUGUUGCUUGUGAUCUGGAGGCAUGAACUUUAAUGUGGAUUUGGUAGCAUGACAGAUGAACAGAAUACAUGGAAGAGCUUGCAAGAUGGCAUGAGGCGUGGGAGCUAGAAGCACAUGAGUUGCAGAAGAUGAGAACUUGCUAUGGCUAAAAGUUUGCUGCGGGGUAAUCAAUUGCAGUGAGCAAAACAAGGAUAUGAUGGUGUUUGAGGGUGUAUAGAGCUUGAGAAUGGUUUUGGAUUGGAGGCUAUGGAUGCUUGGCUUGAUGCUUGAGGCUUGCUUAUGUGAUCUAAGAUGUAUUGCUUGGGGUUGUAUGUUCUGCUGCCUGAGUUGUGUUUGCAGCAACUGAGAGCCUUUAUUUAUAGGCUGGAGGAGGUGAGGCUAAGAUAAGGAUAUUAGGAUAAAACUGCUGGGUUUUCAAGAGAACUAUAAGGUGAAAUCGAAAUAUACAGAACAAGUCAAAGACCACAGGACAUAAGGUGUAUUUGUUGCAUUGUUUUGAGUGAAAUAUGAAAAUAGAGAGGCAUAUUUCUAGGGAAGCACUAUUGUGUAUUUUAGUUGAUAAAAGUGUACUUAUUAGGAAUAGUUUCAUUGGAGUAGGUUGUAGCAUGCUAGAGCUAAGAAUAGGAAAAAUGAGGAUAUUGAUAGAGACUUGUGUUUGUCGUAGAAGAAGGGAAAUUAUUUACUGCGGGGAAAACAAGUAUUGUAGUUUGAUCAGUUGAAACACUAUUAGUGUUAGGGUUGGAAAAUGACUAUGUUUAGGCUAAUGGGUUGGAUUCUCUCUUUUUUGAAUGCCCAUGUAAAGAUUUACAUAAUUGGGCCUCGGUUUUGGUCCCAAGUCCAAAACCGCCAACAAUAUAAGAUCUAGAAUGGGCUUCAUGUACUUCCGUUACCUUCCACACCACACCCAAACUUGUAAGCCCCAAGUGCGUGGUGUGGCUUGAGUCCACAUGCGUGGCAUGACUACUCGAAUAAAUAUGUAAGUUUUGUAUUUUCAAAUGUGAUUCGCAUGUGUAUUUUAUUAUUGGGCUUGUAAUAUCUAUUGAGCAUGAAUAUUGAUUUUUUAGGUAUCAACAACUUGUAACUGAGAACAUUCAAAUCAUGAAGUUAAGGAGAAUAACGGACAAAUAGAAAAUGAAGGAAUGAAUUUGAUUGAGUAUUGUAACCUACCACAAUUGCCAUAAACUCAUGUAACUGAAAAUAUUUAUGGCAACGAAUAACCAUUUGAAUGUAACAUCUGAAUCCAGUUGGAUCAAGAGACACUAAACACAAGUAUUUUGAAAUAUCACAUAAAAAAUUCCAAUAUCAAGGACCAGAUCAUAAAGUCUAGAAAUGGAUGGAAGAAAAUGAAGUUGGCAAUGAAGGGUAGUUCUGCUGGAAAUGGUAUUGCAUUAGCCUCAACACAGUUUUCUACUCAAAGCAGCCAAAAAUGAAUACGUUGGUUUUUAAAUUAGAAAAACAUAAUGUGUACUUCAUCAUCAUGUUUUGGAAUUAAAAUCUUAUAGAAUUGUAGGACGGACUUGCUAUUUUCACUUCAUGGUACAGUUUUCAACUAUGGUUGGAAAAAUGAUUUCAUCUUGGGUUGCAUUAACAACUUCAAUCUUUCAUUCUUUCUCUCUCUGGUUGGAUAUUAGCUGUCAAAUAACCUCAAAACAAAGUAGAAUAAAGUAAACGAAAGGGAUUAGUUUUAUUUUAUUUUUAUUUCGAAA